CCUACGGGUGGCAGCAGUGGGGAAUAUUGCACAAUGGGGGAAACCCUGAUGCAGCAACGCCGCGUGAGUGAGGAAGGAUUUCGGGAUGUAAAGCUCUAUCAGCAGGGAAUAGAAAAGAAGGUACCUGAAAAAGAAGCCCCGGCUAACUACGUGCCAGCAGCCGCGGUAAUACGGAGGGGGCAAGCGUUAUCCGGAUUUACUUGGUGUAAAGGGAGCGGAGACGGGACGGCAAGUCAGCAGUGAAAGCCCAAGGCUCAACCAUGGGACUGCUUUUGAAACUGUCAAACUAGAGUACGGGAGAGGUAAGAGGAAUUCCUAGUGUAGCGGUGACAUGCGUAGAUAUUAGGAGGAACCCCAGUGGCGAAGGCGUCUUACUGGACCGAAACUGACGUUGAGGCUCGAAAGCGUGGGGAGCAAACAGGAUUAGAUACCCGGGUAGUC
RNAcentral lists this ribosomal RNA (441 nucleotides) under uncultured bacterium. Its description in RNAcentral is "partial 16S ribosomal RNA". It matches the Rfam family "Bacterial small subunit ribosomal RNA", at positions 338 to 795 of the family's 1533-position model. The record is from RNAcentral.